AAUAUUGCGCAAUGGGGGGAACCCUGACGCCGCAACGCCGCGUGAGCGAGGAAGGCCUUCGGGUCGUAAAGCUCUGUCUAGAGGGAUGAUAGCGACAGUACCUCUGGAGGAAGCUCCGGCUAACUACGUGCCAGCAGCCGCGGUAAUACGUAGGGGGCAAGCGUUGUCCGGAUUUACUGGGCGUAAAGGGUACGUAGGCGGCUAUAUAAGUCAGGUGUGAAAUACCAGUGCUUAACACUGGAAUUGCAUUUGAAACUGUGUAGCUUGAGUGCAGGAGAGGAAAGUGGAAUUCCUAGUGUAGCGGUGAAAUGCGUAGAGAUUAGGAGGAACACCAGUGGCGAAGGCGACUUUCUGGACUGUAACUGACGCUGAGGUACGAAAGCGUGGGUAGCGAACA
RNAcentral lists this ribosomal RNA (397 nucleotides) under uncultured bacterium. Its description in RNAcentral is "partial 16S ribosomal RNA". It matches the Rfam family "Bacterial small subunit ribosomal RNA", at positions 360 to 774 of the family's 1533-position model. The record is from RNAcentral.